Molecule: unclassified non-coding RNA, 320 nt
Filed under: plant metagenome
Description: partial contains 5.8S ribosomal RNA, internal transcribed spacer 2, and large subunit ribosomal RNA
Rfam family: 5.8S ribosomal RNA (bases 1-105)
Source: RNAcentral
GAAAUGCGAUAAGUAAUGUGAAUUGCAGAAUUCAGUGAAUCAUCGAAUCUUUGAACGCACAUUGCGCCCGCCAGUAUUCUGGCGGGCAUGCCUGUUCGAGCGUCAUUACAACCCUCAGGCCCCCGGGCCUGGCGUUGGGGAUCGGCGGAAGCCCCCUGCGGGCACAACGCCGUCCCCCAAAUACAGUGGCGGUCCCGCCGCAGCUUCCAUUGCGUAGUAGCUAACACCUCGCAACUGGAGAGCGGCGCGGCCACGCCGUAAAACACCCAACUUCUGAAUGUUGACCUCGAAUCAGUUAUGAAUACCCGCUGAACUUAAGC